CUACGUGCCAGCAGCCGCGGUAAUACGGAAGGUCCAGGCGUUAUCCGGAUUUAUUGGGUUUAAAGGGAGCGUAGGCUGGAGAUUAAGUGUGUUGUGAAAUGUAGACGCUCAACGUCUGAAUUGCAGCGCAUACUGGUUUCCUUGAGUACGCACAACGUUGGCGGAAUUCGUCGUGUAGCGGUGAAAUGCUUAGAUAUGACGAAGAACUCCGAUUGCGAAGGCAGCUGACGGGAGCGCAACUGACGCUUAAGCUCGAAGGUGCGGGUAUCAAACAGGAUUAGAUACCCUGGUAGUCCGCACAGUAAACGAUGGAUGCCCGCUGUUGGUACCUGGUAUCAGCGGCUAAGCGAAAGCAUUAAGCAUCCCACCUGGGGAGUACGCCGGCAACGGUGAAACUCAAAGGAAUUGACGGGGGCCCGCACAAGCGGAGGAACAUGUGGUUUAAUUCGAUGAUACGCGAGGAACCUUACCCGGGCUKAA
Molecule: ribosomal RNA, 480 nt
Filed under: uncultured bacterium
Lineage: Bacteria
Description: bacterial SSU rRNA
Rfam family: Bacterial small subunit ribosomal RNA
Source: RNAcentral